GCUAGUUGGUAGGGUAAAGGCCUACCAAGGCGACGAUCUGUAGCGGGUCUGAGAGGAUGAUCCGCCACACUGGGACUGAGACACGGCCCAGACUCCUACGGGAGGCAGCAGUGGGGAAUAUUGGACAAUGGGGGGAACCCUGAUCCAGCCAUGCCGCGUGUGUGAAGAAGGCCUUUUGGUUGUAAAGCACUUUAAGCGAGGAGGAGGCUACCUAGAUUAAUACUUUAGGAUAGUGGACGUUACUCGCAGAAUAAGCACCGGCUAACUCUGUGCCAGCAGCCGCGGUAAUACAGAGGGUGCGAGCGUUAAUCGGAUUUACUGGGCGUAAAGCGUGCGUAGGCGGCCAAUUAAGUCAAAUGUGAAAUCCCCGAGCUUAACUUGGGAAUUGCAUUCGAUACUGGUUGGCUAGAGUAUGGG
This 417-nucleotide ribosomal RNA is filed under the name Acinetobacter radioresistens WC-A-157. RNAcentral describes it as "bacterial SSU rRNA". It matches the Rfam family "Bacterial small subunit ribosomal RNA", at positions 244 to 652 of the family's 1533-position model. Lineage: Bacteria; Pseudomonadati; Pseudomonadota; Gammaproteobacteria; Moraxellales; Moraxellaceae. The record is from RNAcentral.